Molecule: ribosomal RNA, 281 nt
Filed under: uncultured bacterium
Lineage: Bacteria
Description: partial 16S ribosomal RNA
Rfam family: Bacterial small subunit ribosomal RNA
Source: RNAcentral
GUGCCAGCAGCCGCGGUAAUACGGAGGGGGUUAGCGUUGUUCGGAAUUACUGGGCGUAAAGCGCACGUAGGCGGAUUGGAAAGUAGGGGGUGAAAUCCCAGGGCUCAACCCUAAAAUGUCGAUCGAUACUGUUGUGACUAGGAUACGGUAGAGGUGAGUGGAAUUCCGAGUGUAGCGGUGAAAUGCGUAGAUAUUCGGAGGAACACCAAUCGCGAAGGCAGCUCACUGGGCCGCUAUCGACGCUGAGGAGCGAAAGCUAGGGGAGCAAACAGGAUUAGAUA